Molecule: ribosomal RNA, 490 nt
Filed under: uncultured bacterium
Lineage: Bacteria
Description: partial 16S ribosomal RNA
Rfam family: Bacterial small subunit ribosomal RNA
Source: RNAcentral
AGUGAACGCUGGCGGCAGGCCUAACACAUGCAAGUCGAACGGCAGCACAAGAGUGCUUGCUCUCUGGGUGGCGAGUGGCGGACGGGUGAGGAAUGCAUCGGAAUCUGCCCAUUUGUGGGGGAUAACCUCGGGAAACCGGGACUAAUACCGCAUACGACCUACGGGUGAAAGCAGGGGAUCUUCGGACCUUGCGCAGAUGGAUGAGCCGAUGCCGGAUUAGCUAGUUGGAGGGGUAAAGGCCCACCAAGGCGACGAUCCGUAGCUGGUCUGAGAGGAUGAUCAGCCACACUGGGACUGAGACACGGCCCAGACUCCUACGGGAGGCAGCAGUGGGGGAUAUUGGACAAUGGGCGCAAGCCUGAUCCAGCCAUGCCGCGUGUGUGAAGAAGGCCUUCGGGUUGUAAAGCACUUUUGUUGGGAAGGAAAAGCAGCCGGUUAAUACCCGGUUGUCAUGACGGUACCCAAAGAAUAAGCACCGGCUAACUUCGUG